This 87-nucleotide transfer RNA is filed under the name Candidatus Gorgyraea atricola. RNAcentral describes it as "tRNA-Leu". It matches the Rfam family "tRNA". From Rfam's summary of the family: Transfer RNA (tRNA) molecules are approximately 80 nucleotides in length. Their secondary structure includes four short double-helical elements and three loops (D, anti-codon, and T loops). Further hydrogen bonds mediate the characteristic L-shaped molecular structure. tRNAs have two regions of fundamental functional importance: the anti-codon, which is responsible for specific mRNA codon recognition, and the 3' end, to which the tRNAs corresponding amino acid is attached (by aminoacyl-tRNA synthetases). tRNAs cope with the degeneracy of the genetic code in two manners: having more than one tRNA (with a specific anti-codon) for a particular amino acid; and 'wobble' base-pairing, i.e. permitting non-standard base-pairing at the 3rd anti-codon position. Lineage: Bacteria; Pseudomonadati; Candidatus Omnitrophota. The record is from RNAcentral.
GCGGAAGUGGCGGAACUGGCAGACGCGUACGCUUCAGAAGCGUAUGACCGUAAGGUUAUGAGGGUUCAACUCCCUCCUUCCGCACCA